AUGAACGCUGGCGGCGUGCCUAAUACAUGCAAGUCGAGCGAACAGAUGAGGAGCUUGCUCCUCUGACGUUAGCGGCGGACGGGUGAGUAACACGUGGAUAACCUACCUAUAAGACUGGGAUAACUUCGGGAAACCGGAGCUAAUACCGGAUAAUAUAUUGAACCGCAUGGUUCAAUAGUGAAAGACGGUUUUGCUGUCACUUAUAGAUGGAUCCGCGCCGCAUUAGCUAGUUGGUAAGGUAACGGCUUACCAAGGCAACGAUGCGUAGCCGACCUGAGAGGGUGAUCGGCCACACUGGAACUGAGACACGGUCCAGACUCCUACGGGAGGCAGCAGUAGGGAAUCUUCCGCAAUGGGCGAAAGCCUGACGGAGCAACGCCGCGUGAGUGAUGAAGGUCUUCGGAUCGUAAAACUCUGUUAUUAGGGAAGAACAAAUAUGUAAGUAACUAUGCACGUCUUGACGGUACCUAAUCAGAAAGCCACGGCUAACUACGUG
This 496-nucleotide ribosomal RNA is filed under the name uncultured bacterium. RNAcentral describes it as "partial 16S ribosomal RNA". It matches the Rfam family "Bacterial small subunit ribosomal RNA", at positions 29 to 507 of the family's 1533-position model. The record is from RNAcentral.